CCGUUGCCUUUGAAGAAGGGAGUCAGGGUGACAUUCCUCCUCCAAGGUGGCGAGCCGCGCGCUGGGGAGAAUCCAGAGGACGCCUCGGAACCAUUUCCUCCUUCGCCUGCUCCCUGCCAGGGCCGCGGCCCGGGGCCCUGCCUCCUCUGCCAAGGGACCGUGUGUGGCCGGACCUGCUCGGGACCCAGGCGCUGUCCUGCCAGGAGCCAAGUUGGGAGCGCGAACGAAAGUUACACAAGACGUUUCAGAACCCAGUUUAAUUCUGAAGUAACAAGGAAAGAGAGAAAUGGCCACUACAAGCUGCAGAGCUGACAGAUACUCAGAGUGAGCAGUUUAAGCACAGUGAGCUGCGAGCCCACUUCU
Myotis davidii is the source of this 363-nucleotide long non-coding RNA. RefSeq lists it as uncharacterized. The transcript is spliced from 3 exons. The record is from RefSeq and is a predicted model, not a curated record. Lineage: Eukaryota; Metazoa; Chordata; Mammalia; Chiroptera; Vespertilionidae.